UUUUCAUCUAAGGGAUGAGGGCUUUUGUUUCUGAUUUAUCAUAAAAAAAAAAAAAAAAGAGAGAGAGAGAGAAAGGAAGUCCCUGUUUGUCUUUGCUGGCUGAGGGAUACAAUUGUACAGUCUGGCCCUCCAGUUAAAGUGACUGGGUAGGGAAAGCAGGUAGCUCUGUUUGGAAGGGAAGACAGUGCAAGGACUGGUUUCAAUACCAGAAGCUCUUAUGAAUGCAGGCACUCAAGAAAUAUAUUAUGACCCCACAGAGGAGUGUGAAAGGUGGUGUUUCAGUGGGUUUUUUUGUUUGUUUGUGGGGGUUUUUUUUUUGGCAGUUUUAGGCUUGUAUAGCUUCAACCCAAAGUUGUUGUUCAGCUAUUAUGCAUAAUAAUAGUGUUAGUAUGUAGAAAAUGUGAUCAGUAAAUGAUACAGAUUGUAAAACUGUUCAAGUUCAGGGUAAUUCAACAGGUUUUAUUUUAUUCCACUAUUAGAACAAUACAUCCAUUAACUUCAGCUGUCUAAUACAUUCAGUCAAUAAAUGGCUGUUAAAUUAACAGAACAUAAUUAAAAGACAACAAUAAUACUCUCAGGCAGCAUCCAAAGCAGGGCUCAAACUCCUUCCAUCCAACUUAGCUGAAAGGGAGCACUUGCAAGGUGGGGUCAGCUUCUUUUCCCAGGCAGCUUUUCUGUUUGUUAGGUCAAAAGAAGCACAGGCUGGAGAUGAAGAGAAACCUCGCUCUAAGGAAGGUUGAGAUAUCAGAACAGGCUUCCUUGAGGCAGCAGUCACAGCCCAGCACUGACCCACUUCACAAAGCGCUUGGAUGCAGCUCUCAUCUUGAACAGUUGAAGUCAGGGCAAUCUCACGUAGAAGUAGGAGUCGCACGUCCACUCCAACCAGAGCAUGCAGUGCCAAAGAGCCAAUCACUUCAGGGAUCAUCCCUCUUCCUCUUCACAUUCCCCAAGAUGAAAACCUUCAGCAGCAAACGAGCGAAGCCAACGCACAGAAAGAGACUGCACAUCCACAUCUUUAUGAGGAUACAGAACCCAGCUUCUCCUCUCUCCAGCUCAUUCCUGCAGGACCAAGACCACCACCACCAAGGAGCCAUCACCACCCAGGAGCCACUCCAAGUCCCACAGAAGACCCCUUCACCAUGGAGGGGCUACCCCAUCACAGCCCCACUCAGGAGGAGCCCCAAGGGGGAGAGGGGGACUUAG
This 1203-nucleotide long non-coding RNA is filed under the name Coturnix japonica (Japanese quail). Its description in RNAcentral is "lncRNA (ENSCJPG00005010794.1)". Lineage: Eukaryota; Metazoa; Chordata; Aves; Galliformes; Phasianidae. The record is from RNAcentral.